AUGACGUUCAUGAUGGUCAGUGGAACGAUGGUGGACAGGUGGUUGCGGUCGGCGGUGCAGGACAUGAAAGAAAAUAACUUGACAGAGGUUUUAUGUCCGUGUCGAAAAUGCAAAGGAAUAGUUUGGCUCGACCCCUAUGACGAUGGUCGUAUCGAAGCGCACCUGCUUAUGGCUGGUUUCAUGGAUGGCUAUACUCGGUGGAUAAUUGAAGAUGAGGAUGACGAUGCUGAGGACGCCGACAGGGCAGGCAAUGAUGACACGGGGCAAGACGAAGAGAUGAUCGAUAAUGGCGGCGGGGAAGAGGCCGGACAUGGCGGCGAAGAAGGGGCCGGACAUGGCGGAGGAGAAGGGGCCGGACAUGGCGGCGGAGAGAACGACGUGGACUCCACGCAGCAGAGUUCGUCGGUACUAAGUUCAAUCGUGCGGGACCCUCAUGUUCAAGCACUGCUUCGCAAGGAGACGAGUUCUGAGAGAGCUGCUUCUAGAGAGGAGGCUAAGCUGGAGCAACUGGUGGUAGACUCGAACACUCAAUUGUAUGAUGGUUGCAAUCCUGAGGUGACCCGCUUGAGUUUCACGCUCCAACUCCUAAAGACGAAGGCUAAAAACAAAUGGACCAACACUAGCCUCGAUGAGCAUCUCAAGUACCUAAAGGAUGUUCUUUCCGUGGGGAAUCUAUGUCCUACUAGUGUUGAUGAGGCCAAGAAGAUCGUGUGCCCUCUUGAUCUACCGCACGUUAGAUACCAUGCAUGCAUCAAUGAUUGCAUAAUUUAUCAGAAGGAGCACGCGGAAAAAACAAGCUGUCCGGUGUGCAAUGCUUCUCGAUACAAGAAGGCCGGGAAGAAAUGUCCCCAGAAAGUUGUAUGGUACUUACCGAUCACUCCUCGUCUCCAGCGGUAUUUUGUAGAUCCCAAGGAAGCAAAGCUAAUGCGCUGGCACGCGGAGAGGAAGAAGCCCGACGAUGGAGAUGAUCCGAAGCUGAGACACGUCAAGGAUGGAAGCCAGUGGAGAGCGUUGAACAGCUUCUAUCGGUAUUUCGAAUGUGAUGCAAGGAACAUCGUGCUCGGCGCGUGUACCGAUGGCAUGAAUCCGUUUGGCAACCAGAACACCAACCAUAGCACAUGGCCCGUGUUUGUAUGGAUGUACAACCUCCCCCCUGUUGUGCAUGAAGUAAAAGUACAUUCACAUGAGCAUGCUUAUUCAAGGGCCGAAACAACCAGGAAAUAA
Molecule: ribosomal RNA, 1224 nt
Filed under: Triticum aestivum (bread wheat)
Lineage: Eukaryota; Viridiplantae; Streptophyta; Magnoliopsida; Poales; Poaceae
Description: partial small subunit ribosomal RNA
Source: RNAcentral